AGUUCUAUGAAUGUAUUUCUUAUUUUGUAUAUGAAUAAAAUUUUCUUAAUCAAAAAUGAUAUAUCCUAUAUUACAGAGAAUAAAGAUUUUGCUGUUAUUAUUGUUCUCCAUAAAGGAUUUGAGAAAAGCAUCUCUUAUUCUAAAGAUCUAUGAGAUAGAUCUAAGAGACUGUUUGGGUUUUUUUAGUCUAACAUACAUAGGGUAUUUAUGAGUAAAAUUUAUUCUAUCAUAUAUACCAUGUAUG
Molecule: long non-coding RNA, 244 nt
Filed under: Elaeis guineensis (African oil palm)
Lineage: Eukaryota; Viridiplantae; Streptophyta; Magnoliopsida; Arecales; Arecaceae
Description: long non-coding RNA (EGUI_LNC064048)
Source: RNAcentral